CAGCCGCCGCGGGAAUACGUAGGGCGCAAGCGUUAUCCGGAAUUAUUGGGCGUAAAGAGCUCGUAGGCGGUUUGUCGCGUCUGCCGUGAAAGUCCGGGGCUCAACCCCGGAUCUGCGGUGGGUACGGGCAGACUAGAGUGAUGUAGGGGAGACUGGAAUUCCUGGUGUAGCGAUGAAAUGCGCAGAUAUCAGGAGGAACACCGAUGGCGAAGGCAGGUCUCUGGGCAUUAACUGACGCUGAGGAGCGAAAGCAUGGGGAGCGAACAGGAUUAGAUACCCGAGUAGUCCCUGUCUCUUAUAC
This 301-nucleotide ribosomal RNA is filed under the name uncultured bacterium. RNAcentral's name for it is "partial 16S ribosomal RNA". It matches the Rfam family "Bacterial small subunit ribosomal RNA", at positions 509 to 807 of the family's 1533-position model. The record is from RNAcentral.